UCCUGGCUCAGGACGAACGCUGGCGGCGCGCCUAACACAUGCAAGUCGAACGAGAGAUGAGGAGCUUGCUCUUCAAAUCGAGUGGCGAACGGGUGAGUAACGCGUGAGGAACCUGCCUCAAAGAGGGGGACAACAGUUGGAAACGACUGCUAAUACCGCAUAAGCCCACGGCUCGGCAUCGAGCAGAGGGAAAAGGAGUGAUCCGCUUUGAGAUGGCCUCGCGUCCGAUUAGCUGGUUGGUGAGGUAGCGGCCCACCAAGGCGACGAUCGGUAGCCGGACUGAGAGGUUGAACGGCCACAUUGGGACUGAGACACGGCCCAGACUCCUACGGGAGGCAGCAGUGGGGAAUAUUGCACAAUGGGGGAAACCCUGAUGCAGCGACGCCGCGUGGAGGAAGAAGGUCUUCGGAUUGUAAACUCCUGUUGUUGAGGAAGAUAAUGACGGUACUCAACAAGGAAGUGACGGCUAACUACGUGCCAGCAGCCGCGGUAAAACGUAGGUCACAAGCGUUGUCCGGAAUUACUGGGUGUAAAGGGAGCGCAGGCGGGAGAACAAGUUGGAAGUGAAAUCCAUGGGCCCAACCCAUGAACUGCUUUCAAAACUGUUUUUCUUGAGUAGUGCAGAGGUAGGCGGAAUUCCCGGUGUAGCGGUGGAAUGCGUAGAUAUCGGGAGGAACACCAGUGGCGAAGGCGGCCUACUGGGCACCAACUGACGCUGAGGCUCGAAAGUGUGGGUAGCAAACAGGAUUAGAUACCCUGGUAGUCCACACCGUAAACGAUGAUUACUAGGUGUUGGAGGAUUGACCCCUUCAGUGCCGCAGUUAACACAAUAAGUAAUCCACCUGGGGAGUACGACCGCAAGGUUGAAACUCAAAGGAA
RNAcentral lists this ribosomal RNA (879 nucleotides) under uncultured bacterium. Its description in RNAcentral is "bacterial SSU rRNA". It matches the Rfam family "Bacterial small subunit ribosomal RNA", at positions 17 to 909 of the family's 1533-position model. The record is from RNAcentral.